AGGCAAGAGGUAAGCCAGUGGUCUCCAAAACCACCGUUAAGAGGUUCGAUUCCUCC
This 56-nucleotide transfer RNA is filed under the name Bacillus phage Bcp1. It matches the Rfam family "tRNA", at positions 9 to 63 of the family's 71-position model. From Rfam's summary of the family: Transfer RNA (tRNA) molecules are approximately 80 nucleotides in length. Lineage: Duplodnaviria; Heunggongvirae; Uroviricota; Caudoviricetes; Herelleviridae. The record is from Rfam by way of RNAcentral. RNAcentral also lists the same sequence under 2 other names.